CCCACUCUAUCCCCUCUCCCCUUCUAAAUCAUGAGCCUGUACACUCUGCUUGGCAAUACCAAAAGGUCAGACUUUUCUAAUCAACCCCAUUAAAACAGUUUCUCCUUCACCUCUUAGCUCUGUUGUUGAUGAGUAUUCUACCAAGUACCCACGAAAUCUCAAUACUCAUAAACUAAGCAACCGUUAUAAUUUCAAUUUAUAAGUCGUAACUAUAAAUU
Molecule: long non-coding RNA, 218 nt
Organism: Telopea speciosissima
Lineage: Eukaryota; Viridiplantae; Streptophyta; Magnoliopsida; Proteales; Proteaceae
Exons: 3
Source: RefSeq, a predicted model, not a curated record